UACGUAGGGGGCAAGCGUUGUCCGGAAUCAUUGGGCGUAAAGCGGGUGUAGGCGGUCCGGUAAGUCCGCUGUGAAAGUCGGGGGCUCAACCCUCGGAUGCCGGUGGAUACUGUCGGGCUUGAGUACGGAAGAGGCGAGUGGAAUUCCUGGUGUAGCGGUGAAAUGCGCAGAUAUCAGGAGGAACACCAAUUGCGAAGGCAGCUCGCUGGGACGUUACUGACGCUGAGACGCGAAAGCGUGGGGAGCAAACAGG
Molecule: ribosomal RNA, 253 nt
Filed under: uncultured bacterium
Lineage: Bacteria
Description: partial 16S ribosomal RNA
Rfam family: Bacterial small subunit ribosomal RNA
Source: RNAcentral